Molecule: transfer RNA, 76 nt
Filed under: Chloroflexota bacterium
Lineage: Bacteria; Bacillati; Chloroflexota
Also listed under: 1 other name
Description: Chloroflexi bacterium tRNA-Asp
Rfam family: tRNA
About the family: Transfer RNA (tRNA) molecules are approximately 80 nucleotides in length. Their secondary structure includes four short double-helical elements and three loops (D, anti-codon, and T loops).
Source: RNAcentral
GGCCCCGUAGUGUAGCGGUUAACACGUCGCCCUGUCACGGCGAAGAUCGGCAGUUCGAAUCUGCUCGGGGUCGCCA